UGCAUAAAACUGGGAUCGAACUAGGGACCUUUACCUUUAGAUAUUCAGUCUAACGCUCUCUUCCAAACUGAUCUAUUUGGGGUUAC
RNAcentral lists this transfer RNA (86 nucleotides) under Cordylochernes scorpioides. RNAcentral's name for it is "tRNA-Phe". The record is from RNAcentral. Lineage: Eukaryota; Metazoa; Arthropoda; Arachnida; Pseudoscorpiones; Chernetidae.